Equus caballus (horse) is the source of this 76-nucleotide small nucleolar RNA. Its record names the gene SNORD115. It matches the Rfam family "Small nucleolar RNA SNORD115". Rfam says of the family: HBII-52 is a member of the C/D class of snoRNAs, which contain the C (UGAUGA) and D (CUGA) box motifs. HBII-52 is encoded in a tandemly repeated array with another C/D snoRNA, HBII-85, in the Prader-Willi syndrome (PWS) region of chromosome 15. HBII-52 is exclusively expressed in the brain but is absent in PWS patients. The record is from Ensembl. Lineage: Eukaryota; Metazoa; Chordata; Mammalia; Perissodactyla; Equidae.
GAGUGAAUGAUGAGAUCUUUUCUUGAGGAGAUGUAACGACAUAAAAAUUAUGCUCAAUAGGAUCACACUGAGGCCC